Molecule: ribosomal RNA, 243 nt
Filed under: uncultured Aerococcus sp.
Lineage: Bacteria; Bacillati; Bacillota; Bacilli; Lactobacillales; Aerococcaceae
Description: partial 16S ribosomal RNA
Rfam family: Bacterial small subunit ribosomal RNA
Source: RNAcentral
UAAGGAACCUACCGAUAAGCGGGGACAACAUCCGGAAACGGGUGCUAAUACCGCAUAGGAAGUUUGUUCGCAUGAACAAACUUAGAAAGAUGGCUCUGCUAUCACUUAUCGAUGGCCUUGCGGUGCAUUAACUAGUUGGCGAGGUAACGGCUCACCAAGGUGAUGAUGCAUAGCCGACCUGAGAGGGUAAUCGGCCACAUUGGGACUGAGACACGGCCCAAACUCCUACGGGAGGCAGCAGGU